This 214-nucleotide ribosomal RNA is filed under the name uncultured bacterium. RNAcentral describes it as "partial 16S ribosomal RNA". It matches the Rfam family "Bacterial small subunit ribosomal RNA", at positions 524 to 737 of the family's 1533-position model. The record is from RNAcentral.
CACGUAGGGCGCAAGCGUUGUCCGGAAUUAUUGGGCGUAAAGAGCUCGUAGGCGGUCUGUUGCGUCCGCUGUGAAAACUCGGGGCUUAACCCCGAGCCUGCAGUGGAUACGGGCAGACUAGAGGUAGGUAGGGGAGAAUGGAAUUCCCGGUGUAGCGGUGAAAUGCGCAGAUAUCGGGAGGAACACCGGUGGCGAAGGCGGUUCUCUGGGCCUU